AAGACUUUAUGUUAAAAAACAAUUAACCUUCAAAGUUAAAAUUAUAAGUAUUAUUCUUAUAAGUCUUA
Molecule: transfer RNA, 68 nt
Filed under: Brachythemis contaminata
Lineage: Eukaryota; Metazoa; Arthropoda; Insecta; Odonata; Libellulidae
Description: tRNA-Trp
Source: RNAcentral